This is a long non-coding RNA of Oncorhynchus tshawytscha (Chinook salmon), 695 nucleotides long. The record is from Ensembl. NCBI's taxonomy places the organism in Eukaryota, Metazoa, Chordata, Actinopteri, Salmoniformes, Salmonidae.
UUGAAUGGGUAAAUUAAUCCAAUUCUAAUAUGGGUUUGUUUUAUUUCUCUACAUGCAAUGAAGGAUGUCACAUCUUUGAACUUGCUAUGUUAUUUAGACAUCGGUUGGUAUCUACUAUAGUACGUAUGCUUACGCAAAUGUAUUUGUUCAAAAAAAAGCUGUAAUUUGGUAAUAGUCUUUUUUUAACAUCCAGGUUCAUCCUCUGGACGAAGGAGGUUGUCACCCACAGAUUAAGGUCCAUGCAUAACUUGUCCUCUGGAGGAAGGAGGUUGUCACCCACAGAUUAAGGUCCAUGCAUAACUUGUCCUCUGGACGAAGGAGGUUGUCACCCACAGAUUAAGGUCCAUGCAUAACUUGUCCUCUGGACGAAGGAGGUUGUCACCCACAGAUUAAGGUCCAUGCUUAACUUGUCCUCUGGACGAAGGAGGUUGUCAACCACAGAUUAAGGUCCAUGCAUAAAUUGUCCUCUGGACUAAGGAGGUUUUCAACCACAGAUUAAAGGCAGAAGUCAUUCUGUGGACUAAGGAGGUUUUCCACCACAGAUUAAAGGCAGAAGUCAUUCUGUGGAUGAAGGAGAUUGUCAACCACAGAUUAAAGGCAGAAGUCAUUCUGUGGACUAAAUGAGGUUUUCAACCACAGAUUAAAGGCAGAAGUCAUUCUGUGGACUAAGGAGGUUUUCAACCACAGAUUAAAGG